This is a long non-coding RNA of Nyctereutes procyonoides (raccoon dog), 839 nucleotides long. RefSeq lists it as uncharacterized. The record is from RefSeq and is a predicted model, not a curated record. NCBI's taxonomy places the organism in Eukaryota, Metazoa, Chordata, Mammalia, Carnivora, Canidae. The transcript is spliced from 3 exons.
GGGAGGCUCAGGGUGCAAGGAGUCGCUUCUAAUGAGCUUCAGGGUUAAAGAGAGAGAGAGAGACACGUGCUAGGAUUAGGGCCAGGGCCUGGACCUCGCACUGAUGCCUGUUCUGAGCUGCGGCUGUGGUCUGCCCAGAGGAGGAGGCCCGGAGGAGGCCGGGGCUUCCUGGGGCAUCCUGCCAGGGGAGGUCACAGAGCCAAGCUCAGCUGUGAAGCUGCGGCCCAGGACAGGAUAACAGGGAACGCUGGAAUGCCCAGUCUGCCCGCCCUCCCCCGUCACAGGUCGUGCCCUUUGCUCCCCAGGUAGUGGGGAUGGUUUCUCUCUGAGGAGCCAGCGGCCUCCUCUCCUGGCUCUGGUGCAGCGGGGCUGGGCUGGUGCUGCGAGGCUGGGAGCUCAGGCCAGGAAUCCAGAAGCAGGGCCUUCUUCCUCCAGGAUGUAUGAGAGGGCUGAGGGGAGCCCCCCACUGCUGGGAGGAACCUGAGGGCCCAGUGAGCCUGCUGAGCAGAAGCCUCCCCUCCCGAGUCCCAGGGCUGCUCGGGCAAGAGCACAGGCAGGCUGGAAAGUGAUCUCCCUGGCUCAGGGUUAGGCACGAGGGCGGCAAGGACCAGAGUGGAGAUGAGGAGAUUGCUCCCCAGACACCCAGACCCCCAGUCCUUGUGAUGGAAAGAAGAGAACUGUCUUCAAGGAAAGAACACCAGGGGCUCCCACAUCCCAGAGUCUGGGUGGGCUGGCAAGAUCCAGGAAGGUCUUGAGCCUUGGUGGACCUGAAGGCUGGGUCUCUGGCAGGAGAAUGGAAUCCCUGCUGGAUUCAGGCAAAACGGAAGGAUCUCACUGGG